This is a non-coding RNA of Parelaphostrongylus tenuis, 72 nucleotides long. The record is from the annotation of a GenBank genome assembly. Lineage: Eukaryota; Metazoa; Nematoda; Chromadorea; Rhabditida; Metastrongylidae.
GCCUUGGUGGUGUAGUGGUAUCACGUGCCCCGUGGGAUGGGUUAGACGCAGGUUCAACUCCCCUCUAAGGUC